Molecule: unclassified non-coding RNA, 336 nt
Filed under: fungal sp.
Lineage: Eukaryota; Fungi
Description: partial internal transcribed spacer region
Rfam family: Eukaryotic small subunit ribosomal RNA (bases 1-46)
Source: RNAcentral
AAGUCGUAACAAGGUUUCCGUAGGUGAACCUGCGGAAGGAUCAUUAACAUCUUGAAUGGUGGUGUGUGUGUGCGAGUCUCUUUGAGAUGAGCAUGCAUCGCCCUCAACCCCAUUGUGUGCAUGUUUGUGUGUGUGUUUGAGCGUGUGAGUAAAAGAGAGGUCUUACCUCACUUUCACUCUACUUCACUCACUCACCACUCCUUUAUUCACUUCCAACACCCAAACCCCUUCUUCUCAUCACACUAGACUGACUUUAACAUCUCGUUUUCGCUCACCUUUCAACUGAGCAAAACAUCAAUCAGCAUACAACUCUUAGCAACGGAUAUCUUGGCUCUC